This 323-nucleotide long non-coding RNA is filed under the name Capsella rubella. Its description in RNAcentral is "long non-coding RNA (CRUB_LNC001153)". The record is from RNAcentral. Lineage: Eukaryota; Viridiplantae; Streptophyta; Magnoliopsida; Brassicales; Brassicaceae.
CACUGUAUACAUUGCUUUUUUUUUUUUGUGUGUGUGAUUUGUAUCCCAUUGAACAAUUAUUCAUUAUUCCGUCAUCCUAUUAUAUAAUUCUAUCUUACAUGAGAAUCAUCAUCACCUAAUAUUUGGAUCGGCGGUGUCAUCACCUAAAUACAUUAAUGGUAAAACAUGGGUUCGAUUAAAACAAUAUUUUUAAAGAGAGUAAAACUCGAGCCGCAUGACUAUUCGUGAGAAGUGAGAACAUCCUUGUAAUUGACAUGCUGGAAACUUCUUGGGGGCGUAGACUUUACACCGACACUACUGCAACAUUCAUCGUUCACUUCCUU